RNAcentral lists this long non-coding RNA (229 nucleotides) under Sorghum bicolor (sorghum). RNAcentral describes it as "long non-coding RNA (SBIC_LNC014406)". Lineage: Eukaryota; Viridiplantae; Streptophyta; Magnoliopsida; Poales; Poaceae. The record is from RNAcentral.
GAUACAGAUUAGCAUAGCCACUUUAUUUAUUUAUUAAACACACUAAGCAAAAGACAUAUAUAUAUAAGCAUAAAAUCUUUAUUUGGUUUUUCAUAGUAAUGUAUAUUUAUAUUCUAAAAUAAUAUAAGUAUAAAGAUAGAUAGAUAGAAAUACUUAUCGAGAUAAAUGGGGGUGCUCUCCCCCAAGCUGAAUUUGGACGUAAUUUCUCUUGAUGUAGCUAGCAGGUGGC